This 318-nucleotide ribosomal RNA is filed under the name Campylobacter felis. Its description in RNAcentral is "partial 23S ribosomal RNA". It matches the Rfam family "Bacterial large subunit ribosomal RNA", at positions 2595 to 2925 of the family's 2925-position model. The record is from RNAcentral. Lineage: Bacteria; Pseudomonadati; Campylobacterota; Epsilonproteobacteria; Campylobacterales; Campylobacteraceae.
GGUACGCGAGCUGGGUUCAGAACGUCGUGAGACAGUUCGGUCCCUAUCUGCCGUGGGCGUAAGAAGAUUGAAGAGAUUUGACCCUAGUACGAGAGGACCGGGUUGAACAAACCACUGGUGUAGCUGUUGUUCUGCCAAGAGCAUCGCAGCGUAGCUAAGUUUGGAAAGGAUAAACGCUGAAAGCAUCUAAGCGUGAAGCCAACUCUAAGAUGAAUCUUCUCUAAGCUCUCUAGAAGACGACUAGUUUGAUAGGCUGGGUGUGUAAUAGAUGAAAGUCUUUUAGCUGACCAGUACUAAUAGAGCGUUUGGCUUAUCUUU